GGUGGCGUGCCCGAGCGGCCAGGGUGCGGCCUGCAAAGCCGUAGACGCGGGUUCGAGUCCCGUCGCCACCUCCA
Molecule: transfer RNA, 74 nt
Filed under: Microbacterium phage Cinna
Lineage: Duplodnaviria; Heunggongvirae; Uroviricota; Caudoviricetes; Hodgkinviridae
Description: tRNA-Cys
Rfam family: tRNA
About the family: Transfer RNA (tRNA) molecules are approximately 80 nucleotides in length. Their secondary structure includes four short double-helical elements and three loops (D, anti-codon, and T loops).
Source: RNAcentral